GCGGAGGAAAAGAAACCAACAGGGAUUGCCCUAGUAACGGCGAGUGAAGCGGCAACAGCUCAAAUUUGAAAUCUGGCUCCCUUGGGGGUCCGAGUUGUAAUUUGUAGAGGGUGCUUUGGUAUUAGCUGUGGUCUAAGACCCUUGGAACAGGGCGUCACAGAGGGUGAGAAUCCCGUAUGUGGCCAGCAGCUCUUGCCUUGUAAAGCCCCUUCGACGAGUCGAGUUGUUUGGGAAUGCAGCUCUAAAUGGGAGGUAAAUUUCUUCUAAAGCUAAAUACUGGCCAGAGACCGAUAGCGCACAAGUAGAGUGAUCGAAAGAUGAAAAGCACUUUGGAAAGAGAGUCAAAAAGCACGUGAAAUUGUUGAAAGGGAAGCGCUUGCAGCCAGACUUGCCCGUAGUUGUUCAUCCAGGCUUCUGCCUGGUGCACUCUUCUGCGGGCAGGCCAGCAUCAGUCCAGGCGGUCGGAUAAAGGCCUUGGGAAUGUGGCUCCUUUCGGGGAGUGUUAUAGCCCAGGGUGCCAUGCGGCCAGCCUGAACUGAGGUCCGCGCUUCUGCUAGGAUGCUGGCGUAAUGGCUGUAAGCGGCCCGUCUUGAAACACGGACCAAGGAGUCUAACAUCUAUGCGAGUGUUUGGGUGUCAAGCCCGAGCGCGCAAUGAAAGUGAACGGAGGUGGGAACCCCUCGGGGUGCACCAUCGACCGAUCCUGAUGUCUUCGGAUGGAUUUGAGUAAGAGCAUAGCUGUUGGGACCCGAAAGAUGGUGAACUAUGCCUGAAUAGGGUGAAGCCAGAGGAAACUCUGGUGGAGGCUCGCAGCGGUUCUGACGUGCAAAUCGAUCGUCAAAUUUGGGCAUAGGGGCGAAAGACUAAUCGAACUAUCUA
RNAcentral lists this ribosomal RNA (879 nucleotides) under Amniculicola sp. JY-2022a. RNAcentral describes it as "Amniculicola JY-2022a partial large subunit ribosomal RNA". It matches the Rfam family "Eukaryotic large subunit ribosomal RNA", at positions 50 to 946 of the family's 3401-position model. Lineage: Eukaryota; Fungi; Ascomycota; Dothideomycetes; Pleosporales; Amniculicolaceae. The record is from RNAcentral.